CCUACGGGUGGCAGCAGUAGGGAAUCUUUCACAAUGGGCGAAAGCCUGAUGGAGCAACGCCGCGUGCAGGAUGAAGGCCUUCGGGUUGUAAACUGCUUUUAUAAGCGAGAAAUAUGAUGGUAACUUAUGAAUAAGGAUCGGCUAACUACGUGCCAGCAGCCGCGGUCAUACGUAGGAUCCGAGCAUUAUCCGGAGUGACUGGGUGUAAAGAGUUGCGUAGGUGGCAUAAUAAGUAGCUAGUGAAAUCUGGUGGCUCAACCAUUCAGACUAUUAGCUAAACUGUUAAGCUCGAGACCGUUAGGGGUAACUGGAAUUUCUGGUGUAGGAGUGAAAUGCGUAGAUAUUAGAAGGAACACCAAUAGCGUAGGCAGGUUACUGGGACGGUUCUGACACUAAGGCACGAAAGCGUAGGGAGCAAACGGGAUUAGAUACCCCGGUAGUC
This 442-nucleotide ribosomal RNA is filed under the name uncultured bacterium. RNAcentral's name for it is "partial 16S ribosomal RNA". It matches the Rfam family "Bacterial small subunit ribosomal RNA", at positions 338 to 795 of the family's 1533-position model. The record is from RNAcentral.